Brassica rapa (field mustard) is the source of this 3580-nucleotide long non-coding RNA. RefSeq lists it as uncharacterized. NCBI's taxonomy places the organism in Eukaryota, Viridiplantae, Streptophyta, Magnoliopsida, Brassicales, Brassicaceae. The record is from RefSeq and is a predicted model, not a curated record.
UGGUAAAUAUAGUAAUAGUAAUGAUUAAGAUUUAGGAGUGGUAUUUGAAUAAAUAAAUGAAUUAAAUAAAUUAUUGUUAGGAAAAUAUAUGGUAACAUAUUGUUAGUAUAAGUUUAAGGUAAGACCAAAAAAAUAAUGAGUUAAAUAAAAGGGUCCAAACAACUUUGAUAGGUAGAUUUUUUAAGACUUCUUCCCUUUUAAUAGUAUUGAUAUUAAAAAUCAUGGAAGUUAACUGACCCCCUCCCCCUCAAGUAGUUCCGCCACUGGUGAUACGGCAGGAUUGAAAAAAUAAUAAGCACUUUAAGUUUAAAAAUUAACCACUUUAAUUUAUUCAUCUGCAUGGUUAAUCAAUAUAAACAUUUGACUCUCACGUAGAAAAUCAAAGUUUAUCUGUCAUCUGUUGACAAAUCUUCAGAAGAUUAGUUGAGUCUUUGGAUUUGGAUACGUUCAAAAUUAUCAAAAAAAAAGAAUUAAGAUUUUUUUUUAUUCUUCUUAAAUCUUUUCUUACUGUAUUUAAUAUUUACAAAAAAAAAUUCAAUUUAUUGGAAAUAUAGAUUUAAAAGAUAAUUUGGUGGGAGCUAAAAGAUAAUAUAUAAUAAAACUAAAUAAAAAGAAAUACCACAUUUUAUAAUUGGAUUUGAAACAUUUUAAAACAAACAUUUACUUCAUUUAAAGAAAGUAUAUUUAUGGAUAAAAAUAAAGAAAAAUAUUUGGAAACCAAAAUCUUAAGUUUUUAUUUUAGAUAUAUUUCAUAAAAUAUGAAAUAAUCUAACUAAAGUCUUAAAGAAUAUAAAUUAUCAUUUGAAAUAUUUUUGUAAAAGAAUAAAUAAUGAAAAUAAUUUUUAAAGAAUAAAAUUUUCAUUUAAAAUAUUUUCUUAAAAAAUUAUUUUAAGAACCUGACAUUUCUUUAAAUCACCUUAAGUGUUUCAAAAUGUAUGCUAUUUUGGGGAAUAUUUAGUAUUUUGAAAUAUAAAAUAUUCUAUACAUUUGAACAUGAUUUUUGUUCAAUAAAUAAUUUUACAAAAAAUAUUACUUUAUCAAAAAUUCUUGUGAUAUUUCUAUAAUUUUAAAUAUAUCAUUUGAUAUUCUCAGAUUUCUCCAUUGAAGAUCGAAGUACUCAGAUUUAACCCUAUUUUUAAUUGCAAGUGUACAUCUAUGCACGAUAGUAAAUUACGAUCAAAUCCUCAAAGACUAAAGUUACAUUAUCAAACUACGAGGAAAGAAUGCGAAUGUGUUUUUAUGGUUUUCAAGUAUGAUUAAUAUAAAGAACAAUAUGUAAAACAAAAAUUAAAGUUAUGACUAAAAACACUUGGCAAUGGAAAAUUCUUAGAAAAACAUGGAUCGUGAAAUGAAUGCUAGCAUAGAAUACAGUAUAAUACCGUUCUCAAACUCAAACCAUUCAAUUACUGUAAUCUACUUCUGCAUCGCUAAAUCCUAUGUUAUAAAAUUAUAUAGACUAAUUUUCGUUGAAUUUUGGAUUUUAGACAUACUAUCUAAUAGGUUUGAUCUGAAGUUAACAACAAUAUCAACUGGUUACGAAUACUUGCUUAUCUAGAUUCGGUCAUGAGAUUAAAUACUCAUUUUAGAUGCAUUGUAUAAAUUUUCUCCAAUAGUUUUGCAAUUUGUUUAGGGUUUGUUGGUGUUGGUAUUCCGCCAACAAAGGAAAGUGACGAAACUAACUAAUAAUAAUUAAUUAUAUUAAAGGCGUUGGUAAAUUAAAUGUAAAUUAACAAUAACUACCUUCUUGAUAACAACAAUGUUACAAUAAACAUAUUGAUUUGUUUGCAAAAGUAAAAAAAAAAAUGUUUAAAAGAAGGAAAAGAAGGCACACUUGUUCACGAUCUUUAUAUAUACUCCCUCUCAAAGUUCAAUAUCGUUGGAGUCUUGUGGGUUACCAUUUUACCUCAUAAGAUGAAACUCUAUAAAUUAAAAUGUUCUGUUCAAUUCAAUGCCUCGGCAGACAUCUGUUCCCUUUGCAUGUAAGAGAGAUAAAGAAAGCGACAAAAGCCAUAAAGAAAGAUCUCUAGAGUUGGAUGAAUUGUGAGUGAAUGAGCUGGGGCAAAAGAAACACACAGAAACUGACAGAAGAGAGUGAGCACACAAAAGUAAAUUGCAUAUGUUGCAUUUGCUUCUCUUGCGUGCUCACUGCUCUUUCUGUCAGAUUCCCGUGCUGAUCUCUUUGGCCUGUCCUUGUUCCUCUUUGUCUCAGUCUCUCUCUCUCUCACAUACACAAGCUCUCUCUCUCUCUCUUGAUUAUUUCCAAACUAAGGUAAGAAUAUACCACUGAAAUGAUGGCUUGUUCUUGUGUAUUGAUUUUGGUUCGAUCUGAUUGCAUGCGGUGUGAGAUCUUUAAACUUUAACCAUAAAUUCAUUAUGGUUUAAGGUAUGCGUAAUAUCGAAAAAGCAAUUAGUCUAUGUGUUAACGCGUGGUUAAGUGAAAUUAAGCAUGGUAACCUAGUUCUUAUUAGGCUGGUCCUUAAUUUCUCGAUUCAUGUAUAUAUUAUUGUUUAUUUUUUUCUUUUUGUCUUUUUAAUACCUUGUUCCAUCCUAUAUUCUCAUAUAAAUAAUAUGUCAUUUGAUUCAUGCGAUCAUCAUAUCAUCUCAUUUUUCGUGAAUAAGAUGUUGCAAGAUAACUUCGUCAUUAUAAGAAUGAGUCGUUGGCAUUUUAGUUAAUUAAAUAGUUCGUUCGUACAUUUUGAUUCAAUGAGACACAUAAUUAGCUUAUUAUAUAAAGAGUUAUGCUAGUAUAUACUUCAGCAAAAAAAAAAUUAUGCCGGUAUAUAGUUAGUUGUAAUUACCUUUUUUUAUAAAUGCAAUAAUGUUACAUUUCAUGAAUCUUUUUAUGUUAAUGAAGAUACAAUUAUAUGUAGCAUUAUUAAUCACAUAAAUCUUGUGAGAAUAUUCUUGUGGUGGUUUGUUUUGUCAGAUUAAUUUGAUAGCAUGUUCUUAUUUUCAUUGGCUUUUCAAACACACAUUUUGAAUGCAACUAAUACAGCCUAUAAUGUAUGAGUUUCUGGUAUUGGUGCCACAUGUUGAUGUGUCAUGUCUUUCCGCUUUUGUACUGUUAAGGAUGUUGAAAAAUAUUGUUGUUUGUCGACAAAAUAUCAAUACUAGUAAUUAAUUUUUGGUCCUACUGUUACACCUUUUAUUUUUUGUUGGGUAAGUCAUGAGUUGUUGGGCUGAGAUCGUGAUGAUGCCGGUGAGGAUUUUGUGGUCAAGUGAAUGCAUCAUAUACGAAUCGAUAUAUCCAUUGCAAUUGUCUGAUGCUUUUAUUAGUUAAGGCAGUAUUCGAUCUUGAUAUUUGUAGAGAAAACGAAAUUUGGAGGACAUGGAAUACAUGCGUAUGGAUUUUUGAAUUGGAUGAUUUCAGAGGUGUUGGCUCCAGCUUUAUAAAUUUGUUGGUGUGCGUACAUGAGCUCUCUAGAGAUCUAGAAUACAAAUCUAUUUGUAAAUUGUAAAAGGAAAUGCAAAUUCAUAUUUUGUACCGAAGGAUCAUUUGAAAGAAUCAUCCAGAGGAAAGUCUAAACGCAAACACAAAACAACUAGACAAACUUUGGCCGAGGCAAAGAUCGUUGAGCAA